RNAcentral lists this ribosomal RNA (521 nucleotides) under Psychrobacillus sp. RNAcentral's name for it is "bacterial SSU rRNA". It matches the Rfam family "Bacterial small subunit ribosomal RNA", at positions 884 to 1404 of the family's 1533-position model. Lineage: Bacteria; Bacillati; Bacillota; Bacilli; Caryophanales; Bacillaceae. The record is from RNAcentral.
GGUCGCAAGACUGAAACUCAAAGGAAUUGACGGGGGCCCGCACAAGCGGUGGAGCAUGUGGUUUAAUUCGAAGCAACGCGAAGAACCUUACCAGGUCUUGACAUCCCGCUGACCGUCCUAGAGAUAGGAUUUUCCCUUCGGGGACAGCGGUGACAGGUGGUGCAUGGUUGUCGUCAGCUCGUGUCGUGAGAUGUUGGGUUAAGUCCCGCAACGAGCGCAACCCUUGAUCUUAGUUGCCAGCAUUCAGUUGGGCACUCUAAGGUGACUGCCGGUGAUAAACCGGAGGAAGGUGGGGAUGACGUCAAAUCAUCAUGCCCCUUAUGACCUGGGCUACACACGUGCUACAAUGGACGGUACAGAGGGUCGCAACCCCGCGAGGGUGAGCUAAUCCCAUAAAACCGUUCUCAGUUCGGAUUGUAGGCUGCAACUCGCCUACAUGAAGCCGGAAUCGCUAGUAAUCGUGGAUCAGCAUGCCACGGUGAAUACGUUCCCGGGCCUUGUACACACCGCCCGUCACACCA